GAUGAAGAACGCAGCGAAAUGCGAUAAGUAAUGUGAAUUGCAGAAUUCAGUGAAUCAUCGAAUCUUUGAACGCAUCUUGCGCUCCUUGGUAUUCUGAGGAGCAUGCCUGUUUGAGUGUCAUUAAAUUCUCAACUACACUGACUUUGAAUUGGUGUGGCUUGGAUUUGGGGGGAAAAUUGUUGUGGGCUUUUUGUAUAGUCUGCUCCCCUGAAAUUGAUUAGCGGUACCUUUGUGGAACUGUCUACAGGUGUGAUAAUUAUCUACAUCUUAGACAUCUGCUGGAAUGCUGCUUUCUAAACCUUACUUGUAUUGACAAUCUUGACCUCAAAUCAGGUAAGACUACCCGCUGAACUUAAGCAUAUCAAUAAGCGGAGGA
Molecule: unclassified non-coding RNA, 376 nt
Filed under: soil metagenome
Description: partial contains 5.8S ribosomal RNA, internal transcribed spacer 2, and large subunit ribosomal RNA
Rfam family: 5.8S ribosomal RNA (bases 1-120)
Source: RNAcentral